RNAcentral lists this ribosomal RNA (207 nucleotides) under uncultured bacterium. RNAcentral describes it as "partial 16S ribosomal RNA". It matches the Rfam family "Bacterial small subunit ribosomal RNA", at positions 1294 to 1500 of the family's 1533-position model. The record is from RNAcentral.
CGGAUUGCAGGCUGCAACCCGCCUGCAUGAGGUUGGAAUCGCUAGUAAUCGCGGAUCAGCAUGUCGCGGUGAAUACGUUCCCGGGUCUUGUACACACCGCCCGUCACACCAUGGGAGUCGGGAAUGCCCGAAGUCAGUGACCCAACCAUAUGGAGGGAGCUGCCGAAGGCAGGUCUGAUAACUGGGGUGAAGUCGUAACAAGGUAAC